Non-coding RNA from Pantherophis guttatus, 1273 nucleotides. NCBI's taxonomy places the organism in Eukaryota, Metazoa, Chordata, Lepidosauria, Squamata, Colubridae. The record is from RefSeq and is a predicted model, not a curated record.
CAGGUCUGACAAGGCACAGGAACAUGGUGAGCAGCAGGGCUGCUCCCCCCAUGGAGACACAUCUUCAUUCAGAGGGGUUUUGAUAGGUGUUUGUGCCAACACCCGGAACUCCAGGAAGGAAGAUAUCAGGCCAGCUCUCAUUUUAAUGAGAAAUGUCAAGAUAGAGAAUGGAGGUUACGUCUCUCCAUAAUUUUGGACAGCUCCAUUGAAUCAGUUCCAUUGGAAGAAUCCCUUCCAUUAGAAAGCCCGAAAGAUCUGGAGGGUCCCUUUCCGUCAAGGACUCUAAUGGGGGAAGACCAAGACACAGAAGAGGAGCUCUCUCCCAAUGGGGAGAAAACAACUUUCUCAGAUGAUUCUAUGACAUUCCUGGUGGGCUCCAGGAUCAGCAGCCUGGAGGAUGUGGACUCCCUUUCUGACCUUCUGGAUGAGGAGUCUGAGGGAAGCUGGGAGGAUGCUGCAGCGGCUUCUGAUGCUAGCAAUUCCUCCAGUCCAUGGGCAGGACUUAAAUACGGAGAGAAUAGAAAGCCUACUUUUCUGGUGAUGGGUGAGCUGAGAUUGAGGAUUCUUCCAACUCUGGAGAUGUAUCCAGCAACAGAAGCAUUGUUCUGGUUGGGGAUCCAAAUUCAAUAGGCCCUAUUUUAGGAAUGCCGAGUUUCUUUUGCCCCGAUGCCUAAAGAGGAACUAUUGUCAUUCACGGGAUUCUCCCAAAGAAGUGGAAGUCACCCUAGAAGAUCUCAGCAGCCUGGAAGAGGACUCCCUGGACUCCACUCUCUAAUUCAAAGAGAUGCUUCCCCUGAUGCCUAUCCACAUGUCAGCUUGGAGGAGGAUGAACCAGCUUCAGGGACAUCAGGAGAUGAAUUGGUCAAUGCAAGUGGUUGGAUUGGAGGACCCCCAAGGUUCCUUCCAACUCUGUUACUCUAUCUGCAUAUAGAUAGAUAGCUUCAGGAAAGGAAAGUACGGAGACAGAGGAUGGAAUUACCUCCAAUGGUGAAUCCCCUUCAGCAGCUGCUCCCCCCCCCCCCAAGGAAAUUUCUUUUGACUGUCUGAAUCCUGUUGACUUACUAAAAGGUCUUGAGAUCCUGGCUUUUACCUUCAGGCACUGUUAAUGGUUCCCUGAAUAGAAAAAAAAAAUUGAGGGGUCGUUGGUUAUGUGAUGUUAGAUCAAUUUUCAAAUUGGCUUUAUUUUAUGUUUUUUUUAAAUAUUAUUUUAUCUACAUUUUUGUUAACUGCUUGAAAUUAAGAGGGAUAAAUCAAUAAAGUUGCUCAUUGACAA